AAUGAACGCUAGCGAUAGGCCUAACACAUGCAAGUCGAGGGGCAGCACAUGAGGUAGCAAUACCGAUGGUGGCGACCGGCGCACGGGUGAGUAACACGUAUGCAACCUGCCUUCAACAAGGGAAUAACCCGUUGAAAGACGGACUAAUACCCUAUAAUACAGGGGUUCCGCAUGGGAAUAUUUGUUAAAGAUUUAUCGGUUGAAGAUGGGCAUGCGUUCCAUUAGCUAGUUGGUGAGGUAACGGCUCACCAAGGCAACGAUGGAUAGGGGAACUGAGAGGUUUAUCCCCCACACUGGUACUGAGACACGGACCAGACUCCUACGGGAGGCAGCAGUGAGGAAUAUUGGUCAAUGGGCGCAAGCCUGAACCAGCCAUGCCGCGUGCAGGAUGACGGUCCUAUGGAUUGUAAACUGCUUUUGUACGGGAAGAAACACCGAUUCGUGAAUCGGCUUGACGGUACCGUAAGAAUAAGGAUCGGCUAACUCCGUGCCAGCCGCCGCAGUAA
RNAcentral lists this ribosomal RNA (506 nucleotides) under uncultured bacterium. RNAcentral's name for it is "partial 16S ribosomal RNA". It matches the Rfam family "Bacterial small subunit ribosomal RNA", at positions 29 to 523 of the family's 1533-position model. The record is from RNAcentral.